AACGAACGCUGGCGGCAUGCCUAACACAUGCAAGUCGAACGAGACCUUCGGGUCUAGUGGCGCACGGGUGCGUAACGCGUGGGAACCUGCCUUUAGGUUCGGCAUAACUUCCCGAAAGGGGUGCUAAUACCGGAUAAUGUCUUCGGACCAAAGAUUUAUCGCCUUUGGAUGGGCCCGCGUUGGAUUAGCUAGUUGGUAGGGUAAAAGCCUACCAAGGCGACGAUCCAUAGCUGGUCUGAGAGGAUGAGCAGCCACACUGGGACUGAGACACGGCCCAGACUCCUACGGGAGGCAGCAGUGGGGAAUAUAGGACAAUGGGCGAAAGCCUGAACCAGCAAUGCCGCGUGAGUGAUGAAGGCCUUAGGGUUGUAAAGCUCUUUUACCCGGGAUGAUAAUGACAGUACCGGGAGAAUAAGCACCGGCUAACUCCGUG
Molecule: ribosomal RNA, 433 nt
Filed under: uncultured bacterium
Lineage: Bacteria
Description: partial 16S ribosomal RNA
Rfam family: Bacterial small subunit ribosomal RNA
Source: RNAcentral